Non-coding RNA from Cherax quadricarinatus, 3671 nucleotides. NCBI's taxonomy places the organism in Eukaryota, Metazoa, Arthropoda, Malacostraca, Decapoda, Parastacidae. The record is from RefSeq and is a predicted model, not a curated record.
AGACUUAGUCUUCCUGAAGAUCGAGGAACUCUAGUGUACACAGGAUGCACCCAGUGGGAGUAUAUUGGAAGACGUAAUCUGAAGGGCAUUACGUCUAUGAUGCAUUAUGUACCACGGCGCAUUUCAGCUCUUAAGGGAAUUCGUGUUGCAUUCGUGACGUCUCACUGUUCUGCAGCCCACUCCAUCAUCAUCACAGAAGAGGGCAAAGCUAUGUCACUCGGUCGCAAUGAGAAGGGUCAAUUGGGUGUUGGUGAUACCGAGAAUCGAACUGGUGUGAUGUCAAUGGACACUAUGUCAGAAUUUACUGUGGUAUCAGCUGCAGUGGGUCGUAAUCAUACUCUCCUCCUGACGGAUCGAGGCAGUGUUUUUGCCUGCGGUGACAACAAGUCAGGUCAGUGUGGUACGGGCAGUACUAACGCCAUUAUCCACACUCCAUGCCGGAUCAGCUUUAAGGAGGCAAAGAUCAGUAAGGUUGCCUGUGGUGCUGAAUUCAGCAUGAUUAUUGACAAGAAAGGUUACCUUUAUUCCUUUGGCUUACCAGAAUAUGGUCAGCUGGGCCACAACACUGAUGGAAAGUUCUUCAUUACUAGCAACAAAUUGUCGUAUCAGCAUGAGAGAAUACCGAGACGAGUACCUAUAUUUGUUGAACGUAGCAAGGAUGGUCAUCCCACCCCUGUCACUGAUGUGCAGAUAGUAGAUUUUGCUUGUGGAAGCAAUCAUACAGUUGCAAUUGAUGCAAAGAAGAGAGCCUUUUCUUGGGGCUUCGGUGGAUAUGGACGAUUGGGUCAUGCUGAACCCAAGGAUGAAUUCAUUCCCCGUCUGAUUAAGUUUUUUGAUGGCCAUAAUCGUGGAGUGGAAAAAAUAUAUUGCGGCUCAACUUUCACCAUUGGCAUCAGUGCCUUGGGUAUCUUCCUUUGGGGUCAGACCAGACGUACAGGAGAAGCUAACAUGUACCCCAAGCCACUACAAGAUCUUUGUGGCUGGGAUGUGAGAGCUGUUGGCUGUUCUGCCACCUCUGUUGUGGUGGCUGCAGAUGAAAGUGUUAUAUCUUGGGGCCCCUCUCCAACAUAUGGUGAACUGGGUCUCGGGGAGAACAUCAAGUCAAGCACACAACCAAAAGAAGUAAAGGCAUUGGAAGGUGCUCAUGUGAUGCAAGUCUCAUGUGGCAUGGGACACACAGUAAUGUUAGUACGUGAUGACACAGACAAAGACAAAGAGAUUUUGGAGAAACUGAAAGAAAUCACACUGUAAAGGAACUACUUUUUCAACAAGAUUGAAAAGAGGUUGCAAGCAUAACAUUAGGUGGAUAAAAGAUAUCUUCAUUAGAAGGGUUGAUGAACAGCAUUUGUCAACAUUCCUGUUACCCCCAGUUGGGGUUCUUCACCUGAUGUCAGCAUUGCAGAAUGACACGUGGUGCAGAGGAAACCUUUGUUGGCGACAACUUUUCACCCACACAAUGGACUUGAUCAUGUCCCGACUCAAUAAAGCCCAAUGUGUAGGUGAAAAUGCUGGUAAUGAAACUUUGAUCACCAGGUAUCUUUCUACCGUAAGUGUGGGCAGUACCUGCCAUUCUACACCAUGUCAAGUGUUGUUAGUGCUUUUUUUUCAACAGUAUUUUGGAUAAUGCUUCUUGAUAACCCUUUGAUAUUGUAGUUAAGAGGUAACCUCACCUCUUCCUGUAUCAUGAUUUUCUUACGAGAUAAAGGAGACAUUGUAUUGUAAACACAUUCCAGUUAGAUUGCAACAUAUAUCCCUCUGGUAAUUAUCAUACCUUUUUCUCUUAUCAAAUAUAUUCAUGAGCUCUACUUGAUAAACUGUGAAAGAUAAUUGAAUUUUUUUUUUUAAUUAAUUGUUGAUCCCUCAGAUAUAACAACAAAGCUUCAAAGAACUUUGGAAGAAUCUUGAAUACACAAAUAGUUAACUUAUACGUAAGUUGAUUUACUACCUCAGUUUGUGCGAGAGCUGUACUCUACUGAGGGAGGCAGUUUGCUUAUGAGACUCUGGGUAUUUACCCUUACAAAUACUGGAUUCCUUUUGAUGUUCAAGGUGCAUCUCUUUUAUAGCUUUAAACUUUAUUAUGAUGUAAGUAAUUUUGUAAUAUUUUAUUGGCCAAGAAAUGUUUUUGUUAUCUGUAUUUAAGUUAUAAAAUCCCAUAGGUCACCUUUAGUUUUAAAUCCUAUUUAAGCAUAGAUUUAAAAGUGUAUAUUAACCUCACAACACUUGGAUGUAGAAUACUUUUACAAAUACGUAUGCAACUUGGUGAAUCAAAAAUACAUGGACACAGUAAGGUUUCCUUAAUGAUGUUUCACUCUUGGUACUUGAAGAAACUCCACGAAGAGCUAGACGUCGUUAAAUAAAUGACUUACUUUAUUUGUGUCUUUGAUUUGCCAAUUUUUUACAAAGGGAACAGUUUUCCUUAUUACAAAAAUUACAUGUAUUAAUUUAUUAAUAGCUAAUUCUAGGCCUUUUCGCAUUAUUCUGCGAAUAUUAUCUUAGAAAGAGAUGUAGCCUAGGUAUCAUAGGAAAAUCUAGGAGGUUAGUCCUAAACUCAUUGUGUACCUGACUUAAAUUAGUUUAUCAGUACCAUGACUGGGUUAGUAAGUGCCCACAAGGUUUGUAGUGGUGAUUGUUAAUAUUUUGUCCAAACCUUUGUCUUGGCCACAAUCAAAGUGCAUGUUACACUGCCCUUAAACCUAGACUACUGAUGGAUUUCUUGAAUGUUGAGCAGUUGCAAGCAUCUCUCUUAAACUAAUAGUUAUAAAAUUAAUAACUUGUCUUUUGCUCAAAUUACCAACACAACCCUUUGAGAAAUGUCUUAAUAAUUUUUUUUUCUUUUCUGUCUCGGUAAGAGAUAAUUUUCUCUUAUUUAUUUGAAUUACUUUAGUACUUAAAAUUACUAUAUGAGUUUAUUCAUAGAAAUCUGUGAAAUGAAAAGUGAAUGAGAAGAAGCUCUUACCAUAACUGUUAUUUUAUCACUUCAGAUUUUCACAUUAAUUAUUCUCAAUAUUUCUCAAGAAGUAGAAAUGUACAAGUGAUUCGGUGCUCACACCAGAAAUAAAAUUUAAUUUUUUUUCAAGUAAUUAAUUGUAGUCAUGUCUACCUACAUAACAUUCAUGUUGUCAAAAUCAUUAUCAAAUUCUUCCUUUUUGCAACUUGCAGUUUAGUUUGGUCUACAUGGCCCUUUAAUUCAGAAAUACCACUUUAAAAGCAAAAAUUAAGCUUAUUAUACAAAACUGCAUAUAAGCAAUGUACUGUACUCUAGUUUAGUAUUCUCUUUACCAGACAUGCUAACCCUUAAAUUAAUAAAAUUAUGAUUGGAAUCUACAAAGAAAUAUGUUUCAUUCCAUUACAGAAGCAAUUAGAGAACCAGUUUUAGAAUAUAAUUACACAUGUUCAAAGAGAAUUGUUAACUAAUUGGCAGUUAUGCCAUUAGACAUUCUCCUUGUGGUUGACUGUAGAAACUGAAGAUUUGUAUAGAAAUAUAUUGUCAUGCAAACUGCUAAAAUGUUUGAAAUUUAAUUUUCCUAAGCUGUUACAGAGAGCAAUACUGUUUAUUCAGUACAGUUAUUAAAUUGACAAUAAGACAAGGGCUUCCAGUUGCAAAGCAAAUCUCAAUGUAGAGAUGCCAACAUAGUUGAGUGUUGUGCAGAUUUGUUAGCUUAAACUAGCAA